UAUAUAGUUCCUCCGUCCAACAAAGUAUGUCUCAAUUUUGACUAAAUUUGAAUGCAUCUAUACACUAAGUCACGUCUAGAUACAUCCAAAUUUUGACAAACUUGAGCAUCUUUUGUUGGACGGAGGGGUACUUA
Brachypodium distachyon (stiff brome) is the source of this 134-nucleotide non-coding RNA. The record is from Rfam. Lineage: Eukaryota; Viridiplantae; Streptophyta; Magnoliopsida; Poales; Poaceae.